This 440-nucleotide ribosomal RNA is filed under the name uncultured bacterium. Its description in RNAcentral is "partial 16S ribosomal RNA". It matches the Rfam family "Bacterial small subunit ribosomal RNA", at positions 338 to 795 of the family's 1533-position model. The record is from RNAcentral.
CCUACGGGGUGCUGCAGUGGGGGAUAUUGCACAAUGGGGGAAACCCUGAUGCAGCGACGCCGCGUGUGGGAAGACGGUCCUCUGGAUUGUAAACCACUGUCCCCAGGGACGAAGAUGACGGUACCUGGGGAGGAAGCUCCGGCUAACUACGUGCCAGCAGCCGCGGUAAUACGUAGGGAGCGAGCGUUGUCCGGAAUUACUGGGUGUAAAGGGAGCGUAGGCGGGACUGCAAGUUGGGUGUCAAAUCUACCGGCUCAACCGGUAGCCGCACUCAAAACUGCAGUUCUUGAGUGAAGUAGAGGCAGGCGGAAUUCCUGGUGUAGCGGUGAAAUGCGUAGAUAUCAGGAGGAACACCGGUGGCGAAGGCGGCCUGCUGGACUGCAACUGACGUUGAGGCCCGAAAGCGUGGGGAGCAAACAGGAUUAGAUACCCUUGUAGUC